AUAAUACCAAUCUAUAUUUGAAAAGGAUUUUUGUUAUCAGCAGUGCAGGAUGGUUAAAACUUACUGAGUCCUUAUGUGUCAGGCACUCUUGUGAAUGAAGUUUUCCAUGAAUUAGCAUUGAAUUCUCACAACAGUCCUUAAGAUGUAUGGUAUUAUUGUUCUCAUUAUACAAAAAGAAAUUGAAGAAUGGAAUUUGAGGAAAUUGUACCCCUGAGACGUCAAUUAACUUGCCCAAGGAUUCACAGUUAAUAAGUGGUAAUAAGAGGAUCAGUUUCUAUGUCUUUCUUGAUAUUGGACAAAAUAUACUACAAUAUAUUUUUGCAAAGGUAAUGGGCACGAUAACAGCUUUUUGUUCUUUAAUUAUAAUUUAUUUCAUUAGUGACAAGACAAAUUUUUUUAUAGUUCUUUUCUCCUACUAGAUUAGUUACUAAUCUCAUGGGAUUGUUGUGAAGAAUAAAAUUAAUAUAUAUGAAGGAUCACUGUGUCAAGAAUGGGCAUGGCUCUAUUUAGUGAAUGGUGGCUUUUAAUGUUAGUUUUAGCUAGCGAUUGAGGGAAGAACCAUGUAUCUAGUUCACUAAUUUUGUUACACAGGUGGUUUUCUCAUUAAAAGGAAAUCAGUCUUCGCAUAUUUAUGUUAUAUAUAAUUGCUUCUGAAAAUAAGAUAAACCAAUGUAAUUACUGGAAUGGAGUAAGGAAUUGUAAACUUUUUUGAUCUUUUAUUGCUGGCAAAAAAUAUAUUUUAGUUCACACUACAAGUAUAUGUAUAGUUAUUUAUACUCCGCUAACAUAAGUGCUUAUUAACAUACAAAAUGGGAUUUAUCAUAAACAGAUUGCAUACCAAAUACAUUGAAUUUUAUGAACUACUUCCAGAUCUGCUUUUUUUUUUUUUUUUUUUUAAUUAUUUGCUUUCACUUGUAUUACUUAUAUUACUUUCAACCCACCCAUGGGUUUCUUUGCAAAAAUAUUUUAGGCAAUUUUUGAAGGUGGAGUUAGAUAAACCAGAAAAUGAAACAACAAAAUUCAUUUCAUCCAGCACCAGUGAAUGGAAAGACAUAAAAAUAUUCUAGCCUUUAAGAAAUUCACUCUUGCUUCAAGAUUUCUCUAAAAGGUGACAUUUGACACCUAUACCAAGUGAGAAUGCUAAUUUAGAUAUACACAUUUUAAAUAUAAAUGUUUAAAAAAUGGUGGAGGCAGUGGGAGAAAUGUGUGCAGUAUUGGAGGUAUCUUCUUCAUGGGGCUGGAAGAAAAUACUAAACUAGAUUGUUCAGAUGCAGAUUCUAGUGCAUCAUGUAAGUGCUCAACUGCCCCUGUUGCUGUGGGCAGCAUCAUGUAGAACCAGACUGCCUGGGUUCAGAUCCCUACUCCACAAGGAAUACACAUGAACCUUGAGCUCAGCACUUGACCUCUCUAGGCUUCCUUUUCCUCACUUGUGAAGAGACAGUAAUAAAAACCUGCUUUACAGGGUUUUUAUGAGGGUAAAAUUCCACAAGAGGGGAGUUCUUGUGGCUCAGUGGGUUAAGAACCCGACUAGUAUCCAAGAGGAUGUAUGUGGGUUUGAUCCCUGGCUCGAUCAGUAGGAUCCAGCAUUGCCAUGAGUUGUGGUGUGGUGGAUGCAGCUCAGAUCUGGCAUUGCUGUGGCUGUGGUGUAGGCCAGAAACUGCAGCUCUGAUUUGACCCCCAAGCCCGGGAACUCCCACAUGCCACAGGUGCAGCCUUAAAAAAAUAAAAAUAAAAACAACAAGAGUACUUAGAAGUGCCUGCCACUCAGCUAGUAAACCCUAAGUAAGUUUUUACUCUUAGUGCUAUUAUUUUUUCAAUAGCUUCCAAUGUUAAUAGUCUAGGAAGGUAAACAAUCUCUCUUAUCUGGUGUGUUAUAGUCUGUCUUCUCUCUCACUCUGGUGAGAUUCAUGAUAUUAUACCUGGAACUUUGGUUAUUCAUCUUCAGUUUUCUGCCCACUUUUGACUAAUUAGCUGUCUCUGGGCCCUCAUGUGGAGGUUUGUUCAUAUCGUCAAUGCUUAGUGGCCCCUAGUCCUGAUUUGGUGGUUCUUUUCUGUGAACAGAAAAGUGAGACGGUUUUGGAAAGUGAACAUGAAAAUCCCACAGACUGACUUUUAUGUGUUCUCAUUUUCUACCGUCCCUUGGGCUCUGUUACUCACAAUCUUAUACAGAGCACAGCCUUUCAUUAUUCCGGCAGAAGUGAAGACUUUCACAGUAUUUCCUUUAACUUUCUAAUCUUUACCCACUUGCUGUUCCUUCAUCUCUCAUCGUUAUUCCUAGCAGGCAAACACACUCACAUACACACACGUGAACCCUCAGAAACUGAAAAGCUGCAGUGACUUCCAUGCAGUUUGCUGAGACCACAAGCUCACUAGCUGUGUCCUCACAGCAGGCACGCACACCAGCUCCAGUCUCUUUCCCUGGAUGUCCAUUCUUUUUCUCUCUUACUCAGAUGUCCCGAUAUACAGUUUCCUAUUAUCAUCCUUUGAAAUCCACAAUCUUUUAAGGUCUUAGAUACCUAGUGCAUCAUUUUAAAAGCUUUCAAACUUUCUGUUAAUUUGUGUAUUAAACAAAGAUACACAUUUGCAUGUAAGUAACUGCUUGAACAUGCAUCAAAGUUGAGAGUAUGAGUGACUGUCUGGAGAGGAGGAAGACAGUGUAGGCAGUAGGCAUUGAGGAAGAAUGGAACUUAAGUGACACAUGACUUAGCUUUGGGUCCUUUGUACCCUGUGCCAUAUCAGCUUUCGUCACGGCCUCCUCCAGGUCUCAGUACCCAGAGGUUUGCAGUGUUUGCUCCAUUGAGAGGUAUGUAUAGGGGUUGCCCCUGUGGUGGCACCAUGGGUUAAGAAUCUGCCUGCAGCCACUUGGGUUCCUGCAGAGGUGCAUGUUUGAUCCCAGGCCCAGCACAGUGGGUCACGAAUCUGGCUUUGCAGAAGCUAAGGUAAGGUAUAGGUCACACCUGUGGCUUGGGUUCAGGCCCUGGCCUGGGAGCUGCCAUAUACUGUGGGUGUGGC
This 3012-nucleotide long non-coding RNA is filed under the name Sus scrofa (pig). Its description in RNAcentral is "lncRNA (ENSSSCG00015028345.1)". Lineage: Eukaryota; Metazoa; Chordata; Mammalia; Artiodactyla; Suidae. The record is from RNAcentral.